UCUGGUCCAAGUUACACAGAAAACCCUUAAGAACUACUUAUUUUUGUAAACCACCAAAGGAAGGAUGUAGCAAAGAUGAUGCACUCUCAGCAGAAAACUGUUUUGUUAAUAAUAACAAUGUUUUGUGGAAAUAACUGUGAAGUGUAACCACUGAUGAAGCAGCUGCUCUACUGGAAUGGAGAAGAGAGCGCUGGUUUUUAAAUCCUUCAUAGAAGAAGCUGGCUUUUAAUGAGACCUGAAGGAUGAGAAGGAGGCAGCCAUGUGGAGAUGUGGAAUGACACUUUUAAGCUACUAUAGCACAUGCCAAUGCUGUGAGGAAGCAAGAGAGCCUGACGUGUUUGGAAACCAAAAGAACAUCAGCUGGUACACAGUGAACAAGGGAGAGACUCUCAGGAAAUGAAGCCACAAUGAGUACAUGGAAUAUCAGAAUAACAGAACCAGAAGGAAAUGUGCGACUUUCUCAUCUAGCCCCCAGCUGCAGGAGCAUGCGUUCCACUCUCUAACCAAGGCCCUGAGCCUGAGGCCAGAGGGCUUUCUCCUUUUUUCCUAUGAAGAUUAUUGAGUGAUUAUCGAUCCUUCUAACAAACUACUGCAAGACCCAAGCUAGGAGAAAGGAAGAGAGAGAGAGAAAGAGAGACAGAGAAAGAAAAGAAAGGAAGAAAGAAAGGAAG
Molecule: long non-coding RNA, 671 nt
Organism: Suricata suricatta (meerkat)
Lineage: Eukaryota; Metazoa; Chordata; Mammalia; Carnivora; Herpestidae
Exons: 6
Source: RefSeq, a predicted model, not a curated record